RNAcentral lists this long non-coding RNA (7077 nucleotides) under Brachypodium distachyon (stiff brome). Its description in RNAcentral is "long non-coding RNA (BDIS_LNC001891)". The stretch from base 3649 to 3721 matches the Rfam family "tRNA". The record is from RNAcentral. Lineage: Eukaryota; Viridiplantae; Streptophyta; Magnoliopsida; Poales; Poaceae.
UUGCUUAUCUUACUUUUCCAAUUGUGCUAAGUCAUGCGCGCGAUACAAAGUUCGUGGUAGAGAACUUCUUUGAGUCAUCCUAUUUUUCUGUUCAUAUGAGGGAAAUUCAUAUGUGAUUUUCCAAAUAAGGGAAUCCAAAUGAAACCCUUUUUUUGCUCAGUCUAUCUGGACUACUUUUGUAUAAUAGGAAUUAAUUCGAAAUAGGUAUUCCGUUUCAUCUAGGAACAGAACGUAAAAAUUUUCCUUUACUUGAAUAAAAUCUGGAGUUGUGUUGUAUAAGUCCGCAUGAAUUUCUUAUCAUUCAAUGAGCAUCUUGUAUUUCAUAGAAAUUGGGGGUUAUAUAGUCCUUACGUAAGGGCCAGCCUACCCAACUUUCAGGCAUUAGGAUACGUUUAAGGCGCGGAUGAUUAUCAUAAGAGAUUCCCACCAUAUCAUAAGAUUCGCGUUCUUGAAAAUCGGCACUUCUCCAAAUCCAGAAGACAGACGGAAUUCUAGGAUUAUCCUUUUGGGCAAAGACUUUUAUGCAUACUUCUUCCGGGUUAUCUAUGCCAUACUGUAUUCACGUAAGAUGAUACACGCUAGCUAAAGAUCCACCGGGUGCUACAUCAUAAGCACAUUGGGAGAGUAAAUAAUUGUAACCAUAUACGUAUAAAAUGACAGCAAUGGAAUCCCAAUCCCCCGCUUUUAUUUGUAAAGUCUCUAUUCCUCGGUGAUCAAAGCCCAAAGAUCUAUGAACCACCUUAUGUUUGACUAGCCAAUUAGAUAACCAACCCUGCUGCAUUGUCUUGAUCUCUCCCUCUUUGUUUUGUAUAAAUAUUUCACAUUUCGGAUGCAAGUUUCAAAGAUUGCCUUGCUUUUUAUUUUUCUAGACGAAAGAACCCCCCUCCUAAUUCACUAAUUUGUAGGAAGGUACUAUACUUUUGGAUUUGUAAAUUUUUUCAGAAGAUAUAUCUAAAGUAGAUGGUGAUUGAUAGAGCAAUUCUUGCUCGUAAGUUCCAGUAUGAGUACUGCGCCGAACAUAAAGCUUGUGACUGGUAGUAAAACAUCGGUUUUUAUUUUGAGAUCGAAUUCGAUCCUCAACUAUUUCUCGCGAUAUCUUCUUACGAAGUUUUGUUAGGGCAUCUAUAACCGCCUCCGGUUUAGGUGGGCAACCCGGCAAGUAGACAUCCACAAGAAUUAACUUAUCAACUCCUCGAAUAGUACUAUAGGAAUCCGUACUGAACAUUCCCCCUGUAAUAGUACAAGCUCCCAUAGCAAUGACGUAUUUUGGUUCAGGCAUUUGCUCGUAUAACCUCACUAAAGAAGGAGCCAUUUUCAUUGUUACUGUACCAGCUGUUAAAAUUAGGUCCGCUUGCCUAGGACUUGAUCUUGGUACCAAUCCAUAACGAUCAAAGUCGAAUCGCGAGCCUAUUAAUGAAGCAAAUUCAAUGAAACAACAACUGGUACCGUAUAGAAGGGGCCAUAAACUGGAGAGUCUUGACCAAUUUGAAAGAUCGUUUGGUGUAGUUGAAAUAACAGAAUUGGAACUUGUUUGGUCAAGUAAAGGAAACUCAAUCAAACUCAUAACUGUCUCAAUGGAAUCUUUUUCUUCUUUUUUUUUUUCUAAAUAUUCAGUUAAGACAUUCCAAGGCUCCUUUUCGCCAUGCAUAAACUAAACCAACAACUAGGAUAAGCACGAAAAUGAAAGCUUCGAUAAAAACGGAUACACCCAAUACGUCGAAACUCAUUGCCCAAGGGUAGAGAAAGACGGUUUCCACAUCAAAAACAACAAAAACUAGCGCAAACAUGUAAUAGCGUAUUCGGAAUUGUAGCCAAGCCCCUCCCAUGGGUUCUAUACCCGAUUCAUAACUAGAAAGCUUUUCGGGUCCUUCACUAAUCGGGGCUAAAAGCCCUGAAAUCCAAAAUGCCAAAAUCGGAAUAAGGGUUGCUAUUAUUAGAAAUGUCCAAAAAAUAUCAUAUUCGUGAAGCAGAAACAUAAUGUACUCCCAUUAAUGUAGAAUAGACGAGACUUAAAUUAAUCAAUUCAAUUAUGCAUUGUCAAUUCAUCCAGAACUUAUCUCUUUUCCUCGGUGAAACAAGAAUCUGUUUUGUUCAAACAAAAUCGCUUAGUUUAGCCUUUGUUUUCUCUGUGCUGUGUCUUCUUUAAAGAUUCAUCCAAUGGAAUCCCAACUCCCCUUCUUUUUUCUCCAUUCUAUUUAGAUAUGGUCUAGAUCUAAUUCUUAUAUAAAAAAUACUUUAUCCCUUCACUUUAUUUUGCUUUCUCUAUAAUCUUUAGAACCUAAUUAACAUAAGAGGACUAGUCUAUGCAGUAGACUGAGAAGUAAUACUAUAAAAAAAUAAGGAACUCUAUUUCAGAACUAUGAGACAUAAUAUUCUGUUUUCUUAUUUACUCUUUACUUUAAUUCUUUCUAAAAAAAUUCUAUUUAGGAUUUUAAGUAGAUCGAUUUAGAUAAUGUAUAUAUAAGCAAAGUAAUAUACCUAAAACAAAGUAUAAAUUCGCAAGAUGGAGAAAAUCAUUGCAGUUUUAUAGGGAAGUCUAGAGAUACCCUAUUUGAAGAAGGGCGGGAUUCAAAUCAGGGAAGGGCUCUUUUCUUCUAUUGAUUUGAUAGAAAUCACUUUUUCGUUUCCUAUCUCUAUGAUUUUUGAUGAAUGAGCCUGUGGUAAUUCUUUUACGCCUAUUCUAUGUCGCAGGCGCCCGCCCAGUCUAUAAACAAGUACUAAUGUGAAAAUAAAAGCUAUACUAAGGAAAACAUAGGAUAUCUAUACUAAAAUCCAAAAAUAGGACAUAUUAGGGCUAUACGGAUUCGAACCGUAGACCUUCUCGGUAAAACAGAUCAAACAGAUUAUUAUCGAAAUGAUUCGAACUGUUUCAAAGACCCAAGAUGCAUUUUUUUUGCAUUGGGCUCUUUCAUCAACUGAUUUAAAGAUCAGUUAGUCCACCAUAGUUUUCUUUACGGAAAGAUAAUGAGAUGGCUCCCUGUGCUCUGAUUGAUUAUUUGUAUUAUGGUCUAUCUAGGAGCAAUACCAAAGUGUUUCAAAGGAGGAUUACCUUGACUUAGGUCUGCCUCCGGCCUAAAUUAAAUCAACCUAAGUGAAAUGGAGUCUCUAUCGUUCCACUGCAAGAGUUAACUAUGAGACUUCAUACACCUUAAAGUUCAUAGAACGAAAAGAAGUUUUUUGGAGGCCCUUAUCCUCAUUACGCCUAGCAUUUAGUGGGCUGGAUAUUUACCUUAUCAACUAGCAAAUCCAUAAGGGUUCUAUUUGAUUAGGCACCAGAAUGGGGACCUGAAUCGGACUGAACUGACUCUUUGUCAGGCUACUGUUCUCCUAUUCUGUCGAAUCUAUGAAGUAAGACAUUGAUUUUGCAAUAAGAUCCAUUAUAUUCAUUGCAUAAUAAGCUCCUUUGAAAAGCAUUGGCGCACGUGUAAACGAGUUGCUCUACCGAACUGAGCUAUAGCCCUUAUCAGAGAUAUCUUAACAUAUAGAUAAUUUAUUGUCAAGAUGAAUAUUCUCUAAUGCCAGAGGGUAUCUCUUUAAAUAUGUAUCUGUUUAGUAUAUAACAUACCAAUAAGGAAGCGUUAUUGCUUAGAAAAGGGAUUCGAUAUAUAAUCGAUCGAAGUAAUGGGUCUUCCUUUGUGAUCAUAAAUUGACUACUUAACUCAGUGGUUAGAGUAUUGCUUUCAUACGGCGGGAGUCAUUGGUUCAAAUCCAAUAGUAGGUAGGUAGGUAGAAAAAUUACUAGAUAGCAUUGGGCUUAUUUUGCUUCGCUAUCUAAUAACUUUUUCUACCCCUCUUCCCUUUAUCUUUGUAUCAACUAUAAACCAUUGGAUUGUCUUCAAUUGGACGGGGGAAUCCAAUUGACAGCCUUGAUUCGUAUCCUAGCUCGUCUGAGAGCUAGUUUCGCUUCAACCAAUUCUUUCGUACCCUCAGCUUUACUCAAGUUAUUUUCGGCUAUUUUAAGUGCCUGUUGAGCUUCUUCCGAAUCAAUAUCACUACCCAGUUCCGCAUCAUUUCCUAAAAUAAUGAUCUCAUUAUUAACUAUUCUCGCAAAACCACUCCACAGAACCGCCGUUAACCAUUGGUCGUUGAGGAGGCGUAUUCUCAAAGGACCCAUAUCUACUGCUGUGUUAAUGGGGGCAUGGUUUGGUAAUACCCCAAUUUGACCACUAUUAGUGGAUAAAAUGAUUUCUUUCACUUCACAAUCCCAAAUAAUUCGCUUAGGAGUCAGUACAUAAAGAUUUAAUUUCAUUUCUUCGAUUUGUUCUCCUCUUCUAAGGUUAUAGCUUUCGUGCUAGCUUCAUCGAUGUUACCCACCAAAUAAAAAGCCUGCUCGGGUAGGCCAUCUAAUUCUCCGGAAAGGAUUAGUUGAAAUCCCCUAAUUGUUUCUGCAAGACCAACAUACCUUCCUGCAGAACCAGUAAAAACUUCUGCUACAAAGAACGGUUGUGAUAAGAAACACUCAAUUUUUCGCGCUCUUGCUACAGUUAAACGAUCCUCCUCCGAUAAUUCAUCCAAUCCAAGAAUUGCGAUGAUGUCCUGAAGUUCCUUGUAACGUUGUAAAGUUUCCUUAACUCUUUGCGCAGUUUCAUAAUGUUCGUUGCCAACGAUCCGAGGCUGUAACAUAGUUGAGGUUGAAUCUAAAGGAUCUACUGCUGGAUAAAUACCCUUGGAAGCUAAUCCUCUGGAAAGUACGGUAGUAGCAUCCAAAUGGGCAAAUGUUGUGGCAGGAGCAGGGUCAGUCAAAUCGUCCGCAGGUACAUAAACCGCUUGGAUCGAAGUUAUAGAUCGCUUUUUAGUAGAAGCAAUUCUUUCUUGCAAAGAACCCAUUUCUGUACUAAGAGUAGGUUGAUAACCCACCGCGGAGGGCAUUCUCCCUAAUAAAGCGGAUACCUCCGAUCCUGCUUGAACAAAACGAAAGAUAUUAUCGAUGAAUAAAAGCACGUCUUGCUUAUUAACAUCUCGGAAAUAUUCCGCCAUAGUUAGGGCAGUUAAACCAACUCUCAUACGAGCUCCCGGUGGUUCAUUCAUUUGGCCAUAGACUAGAGCUACCUUUGAUUCCUCAAUAUUUUCAUUAAUUACUCCGGAUUCCCUCAUUUCCAUAUAAAGAUCAUUUCCUUCACGAGUCCGUUCCCCUACUCCACCAAAUACGGAUACACCCCCAUGAGCUUUAGCAAUGUUGUUGAUUAAUUCCAUGAUGAGUACUGUUUUACCUACUCCAGCCCCCCCAAAUAGUCCUAUUUUUCCUCCACGUCGAUAAGGAGCUAAAAGAUCAACGACCUUAAUACCUGUUUCAAAGAUGGAUAAUUUCGUAUCUAACUCGAUAAAGGCAGGCGCAGAUCUAUGAAUAGGGAACGUUGCACUACUGUCUACAGGACCCAAAUUGUCAACAGGCUCUCCAAGAACGUUGAAAAUUCGCCCGAGAGUAGCUCCGCUGACCGGAACACUGAGAGGAGCUCCUGUGUCAAUCACUUCCAUUCCUCUCAUCAACCCAUCUAUAGCACUCAUAGCUACAGCUCUAACUCGAUUAUUUCCUAAUAAUUGUUGUACCUCACAAGUCACAUUAAUUUGCUUAUCGGCAGUGUCUCUACUCUGGACUACCAAAGCAUUAUAAAUAUAAGGUAACUUACCGGGGGGAAAAGUGACGUCCAGCACGGGUCCAAUAAUUUGAUCGAUAUGGCCUGUACUUUUUUCUUCAAUUGGGGAAACCCCGGGACGAGAAGUAGUAGGAUUGGUUCUCAUAAUUAUCACAUAAUAAAAAAAAGGAAUUUGUCGAAAUUUUUCUUUUUUUCUUGUUGAAUAAUACCAAAUCCAAAAAAAUAUCCAAAAAUCCAAAAGUAAAAAGGAAAUCAAUUAGUUAAUUCAAUAAGAGAAAAAAGGGGAACAUGACUUGAUUUCGUUGCCCAAGCGAAUCCCUUUCAACCCUUUACUCAUGGAAUGAGGCCGUUGGAAAGUUCAAUCAAUCUUUUUUUCAUAAGAUAGAUUUUUCCUUUUGUGGAGGAUCUGUGCCUACUCUACUUUCCUAUCUAGGACUUCGCUAUACAAAAUAUAUACUACUGUGAAGCAUAGAUUGCUGUCAACAGAAAAUUUUCUUAGUAUUUAGUUAGGUAUUUCUUUUCAAAAUAAGAAAGGGGCCCUUUAAUAAUUUGUAAAAAACAAAGGUUAAGGAUUGAUUUGGGUUGCGCUCUAUCUAUCAAAGAGUAUACAAUAAUGAUGGAUUUGUUAAAUCAAAUCCUUGGUUUAAUAACGAACGGUGUUAACUUACCAUAACAACAACUCAAUUCCUAUAGUGAAAUUCCUAUAGGAUAGAACAUACACAGGGUGUACGCAUUAUAUAUGAAUGAAAAAUAUUAAUGAACUUAAGCAUGCCCUCAAUUUUCUGUAAUGAGUUGCUAUUAAUUGAAUAUCUCUUUUUUUUAUGAGAUUUUUGCUAAAGUUUCAUUUACGCCUAAUUCACAUCGAGUAGACCUUGUUAUUGUGAGAAUUCUUAAUUCAAGAGUUGUAAGGAGGGACUUAUGUCACCACAAACAGAAACUAAAGCAAGUGUUGGAUUUAAAGCUGGUGUUAAAGAUUAUAGAUUGACUUACUACACCCCGGAGUAUGAAACCAAGGAUACUGAUAUCUUGGCAGCAUUCCGAGUAUCUCCUCAACCUGGGGUUCCGCCCGAAGAAGCAGGGGCUGCGGUAGCUGCCGAAUCUUCUACUGGUACAUGGACAACUGUUUGGACUGAUGGACUUACUAGUCUUGAUCGUUACAAAGGACGAUGCUAUCACAUCGAGCCUGUUCCUGGGGAAGACAGUCAAUGGAUCUGUUAUGUAGCUUAUCCAUUAGAUCUAUUUGAAGAGGGUUCCGUUACUAACAUGUUUACUACCAUUGUAGGUAACGUAUUUGGUCUCAAAGCCCUACGUGCUCUACGUCUGGAGGAUCUAUGAAUUCCCCCUACUUAUUCAAAAACUUUCCAAGGCCCGCCUCACGGUAUCCAAGUGGAAAGAGAUGAGUUGAACAAGUAUGGUCGUCCUUUAUUGGGAUGUACUAUUAAGCCAAAAUUGGGAUUAUCUGCAAAAAAUUACAGUAGAGCAU